Molecule: ribosomal RNA, 672 nt
Filed under: uncultured Providencia sp.
Lineage: Bacteria; Pseudomonadati; Pseudomonadota; Gammaproteobacteria; Enterobacterales; Morganellaceae
Description: bacterial SSU rRNA
Rfam family: Bacterial small subunit ribosomal RNA
Source: RNAcentral
UCCUGAGGAGUGGCUUCCGGAGCUAACGCGUUAAAUCGACCGCUGGGGAGUACGGCCGCAAGGUUAAAACUCAAAUGAAUUGACGGGGGCCCGCACAAGCGGUGGAGCAUGUGGUUUAAUUCGAUGCAACGCGAAGAACCUUACCUACUCUUGACAUCCAGAGAAUUUAGCAGAGAUGCUUUAGUGCCUUCGGGAACUCUGAGACAGGUGCUGCAUGGCUGUCGUCAGCUCGUGUUGUGAAAUGUUGGGUUAAGUCCCGCAACGAGCGCAACCCUUAUCCUUUGUUGCCAGCACGUUAUGGUGGGAACUCAAAGGAGACUGCCGGUGAUAAACCGGAGGAAGGUGGGGAUGACGUCAAGUCAUCAUGGCCCUUACGAGUAGGGCUACACACGUGCUACAAUGGCGUAUACAAAGAGAAGCGACCUCGCGAGAGCAAGCGGAACUCAUAAAGUACGUCGUAGUCCGGAUUGGAGUCUGCAACUCGACUCCAUGAAGUCGGAAUCGCUAGUAAUCGUAGAUCAGAAUGCUACGGUGAAUACGUUCCCGGGCCUUGUACACACCGCCCGUCACACCAUGGGAGUGGGUUGCACCAGAAGUAGAUAGCUUAACCGCGAGGGGGGCGUUUACCACGGUGUGAUUCAUGACUGGGGUGAAGUCGUAACAAGGUAACCA